GAUGAAGAACGUAGUGAAAUGCGAUACGUAAUGUGAAUUGCAGAAUUCAGUGAAUCAUCGAAUCUUUGAACGCAUAUUGCGCUAUCUGGUAUUCCGGAGAGCAUGCUUGUUUGAGUAUCAGUAAACACCUCAACUUCCAUAUCUUUUUUGAAAUGGGAGUUGGACUUGAGUGAUCCCAACGCUUUUCCUCACCGAAAAGUGGCGGGUUACUUGAAAUGCAGGUGCAGCUGGACUUUUCUCUGAGCUAUAAGCAUAUCUAUUUAGUCUGCCUAAAAAACAGAUUAUUACCUUUGCUGCAGCUAACAUAAAGGAGAUUAGUUCUUGUGGUGACUGAUGCAGGAUUCACAAAGACGGCUUCGGCCGACUUUGUAAACUCGAUCUCAAAUCAAGUAAGACUACCCGCUGAACUUAAGCAUAUCAAUAAGCGGAGGA
Molecule: unclassified non-coding RNA, 432 nt
Filed under: soil metagenome
Description: partial contains 5.8S ribosomal RNA, internal transcribed spacer 2, and large subunit ribosomal RNA
Rfam family: 5.8S ribosomal RNA (bases 1-120)
Source: RNAcentral